UGUGAAACUCCUUUUGACAGGAGGUGCAGAAAUAAACGCCUGUCUUGUGGAUGGUCUUGUGGUUGAGGAGGGAGCUAGCGUGACGAAAUGGGCUUGAGCGCAUACCCAGGAAACUGGAAGGAGCUGAGCCGCUCCAGUGCAACUUCAUGUGGUGGCGUAGGUUGGACUUGCUGGAGAAGCGUUUGGCGCAUUGCUGGCAGGAGAAGGGCUUCUCCUGGGUGUGAAUGCGCUGGUGGACGAUGAGUUGGCUAGGAGCACGAAAGGCCUUUCCACAAUCUGAGCACCGGUGGCGUUUGACCUCAGUGUGGAUGCGCCGAUGGGUCUUGAGAGCCAUCAGGUUGGAGAACUCCUUCUGACAAGAGCUGCAGAAAUAGGCACCUGUCUUGUGGACGUUCUUGUGGUUCUGGAGGGAUCCGGCAUGGCGGUAACCACGGCCGCACUGGUCACAGACAUGCAACUUGGGUGGUCUCCCUGCGCCAAUUGGUGGAUGACCUGAAAAUGUAAAAUGUAGGAAUUGUGUCAUGCCAUAAUUCUAAUAUUUCGUUUGUAUAAACAUUCAUGCUGGCUUCACAUGCACGGGGAAAAUGGGGAAACUGGGAAGUCAUAAGCCCGACAUGGUUGUGUUGAAGUUGGAACAAUUCUUAAUGAAGUAAGCUAGCUUGCUUAACAUCAACAAUAUGGUCAGACUAGCUACAUUAUACAUAAUGAUAAGGUUGUAAUUAUCAAAAACAUAUUUGUUGUCAAAGGUAAAAGGUCAGUGGUGAAACGUCACAACUUGGGUAACAAAAAUGUCUCUGUACUUGUAAUUUAGACUUGGACAGUCCUUCAAGUGAAAUUUCCCACUGGGAACUAAUGUGAAAGCUGCAUUAGAAACAGCUUCAUCAAUAAUUCUUCAACAAUUAAAGGUGCAUUCCGUAACAUUUCCACAUGCACAUAGAUCUUAAUAUAUCGGUAGUAAUAAAUUAAUACUAUUAAUUGAGAGAAAAACAAAAAGAACUGUCCGAGUGGCACGUCAUGGCUACCCUCAGUUUAUACAAAAUGCAGCGUCUUCUUGAUUCAAUAUUGGUUGUACUUUUCAGAAGUUGAAAGCCCAACAAUAUUGCAUCGACAAAAUAAUAUUUUGGACUUAUGUCAUACUCUUCAAAAUCAGAGAGGGAGUCAAAAAUAUCACUGAAAUGUUACAGAUAGCACCUUUAACAAUAAAUGGUUUUUCGGGCAAUUCACCUGAGCCUUUUCAAUAUAUAAUCAAACCAUUGGGCAAAUUGGCCUUCCCUACACUGAUGGCGUACUGAGCUUUGAGUCAAACGGUGAGGCUACAUGUGUUGUAAAUGUCAUUCCCCCACUGUACACUGCAGGCAUAAGGGUUUUUUAUGCAUUUCCACUAGCAACCAGUAUUUCAUUUGGUCGUUUACAAAGCCUUAUAACUGUACCUUUGAAUUUGGUGGAAGAAUCUGAUGUCUCAAUUUGGGAACAAAUGUAUAGCUACAGUUAAUUAUAUUCAACACGGGUGGAUCUUUAUUAAGCACAAACUAUCAUGCAUAUAUAAAAGACGAAAUGUACAUGAAAACAAAACAAACAUGGAACAGGUCAGAGUUACAUGCGUACGAUUACGGGCGAGAGAUGUGCAUCUUCAAUAUCUGGGCUAGUUUCAUAUUCAUGGUGACAAAUACACAAACAUUGGGAGACAGCAAUAUUGCAAUGUUGAUUCUACAACCCGUAGGACAAUUUACUCAAAAACCAAAUUAAAUAGUUUUCUCCCAAUACUUGAGCGUUCCUUAAUCAACCCAGACAAAAAUAUUUUAUUCCGUUAAUUUGAGCAGCCACUUGUUAGAUUAGCAUAUUAAUCUAAGAGUUUAUAGGACGCAAUUGAACAAAAUU
Molecule: long non-coding RNA, 1878 nt
Organism: Oncorhynchus nerka (sockeye salmon)
Lineage: Eukaryota; Metazoa; Chordata; Actinopteri; Salmoniformes; Salmonidae
Exons: 2
Source: RefSeq, a predicted model, not a curated record